RNAcentral lists this ribosomal RNA (420 nucleotides) under Fusobacteriota bacterium. Its description in RNAcentral is "Fusobacteria bacterium partial 16S ribosomal RNA". It matches the Rfam family "Bacterial small subunit ribosomal RNA", at positions 355 to 776 of the family's 1533-position model. The record is from RNAcentral. Lineage: Bacteria; Fusobacteriati; Fusobacteriota.
UGGGGGAUAUUGCACAAUGGGCGAAAGCCUGAUGCAGCGACGCCGCGUGGGGGAUGAAGGCCUUCGGGUUGUAAACUUCUUUUGCUUUGAACAAGGCAUGCCUUUGGGGUGUGUUGAGUGUAGGGGUUGAUUAGCGCCGGCUAACUACGUGCCAGCAGCCGCGGUAAUACGUAGGGCGCGAGCGUUGUCCGGAAUUAUUGGGCGUAAAGGGCUUGUAGGUGGGUGGUUGCGUCUGUCGUGAAAGCUCAUGGCUUAACUGUGGGUUUGCGGUGGGUACGGGCUGGCUUGAGUGCAGUAGGGGAGGCUGGAAUUCCUGGUGUAGCGGUGGAAUGCGCAGAUAUCAGGAGGAAUACCGGUGGCGAAGGCGGGUCUCUGGGCUGUUACUGACGCUGAGGAGCGAAAGCGUGGGGAGCGAACAGG